UUCCUUUCGUGUGUAGGGGACCUGCGGAAGGAUCAUUA
RNAcentral lists this ribosomal RNA (38 nucleotides) under Ascomycota sp. 222. RNAcentral's name for it is "Phialocephala sp. 222 partial 18S ribosomal RNA". The record is from RNAcentral. Lineage: Eukaryota; Fungi; Ascomycota.